This 402-nucleotide ribosomal RNA is filed under the name bacterium. RNAcentral describes it as "partial 16S ribosomal RNA". It matches the Rfam family "Bacterial small subunit ribosomal RNA", at positions 355 to 776 of the family's 1533-position model. The record is from RNAcentral.
UGGGGAAUUUUGCACAAUGGGGGAAACCCUGAUGCAGCGACGCCGCGUGAUUUAGAAGGUCUUCGGGUUGUAAAAAUCUUUUCUAUGGGUAGAAAAUGACAGUACCAUAGGAAUAAUGACCGGCUAAUUACGUGCCAGCAGCCGCGGUAAUACGUAAGGUCCGAGCGUUGUCCGGAAUCAUUGGGCGUAAAGGGUACGUAGGCGGGUAAGCAAGUUAGAAGUGAAAUCCUAUAGCUCAACUAUAGUAAGCUUUUAAAACUGCUCAUCUUGAGGUAUGGAAGGGAAAGUGGAAUUCCUAGUGUAGCGGUGAAAUGCGCAGAUAUUAGGAGGAAUACCGGUGGCGAAGGCGACUUUCUGGCCAUAACCUGACGCUGAGGUACGAAAGCGUGGGUAGCAAACAGG